Long non-coding RNA from Rhinichthys klamathensis goyatoka, 342 nucleotides. RefSeq lists it as uncharacterized. NCBI's taxonomy places the organism in Eukaryota, Metazoa, Chordata, Actinopteri, Cypriniformes, Leuciscidae. The record is from RefSeq and is a predicted model, not a curated record. The transcript is spliced from 2 exons.
CUCCGAGAUCCGUGACGUUUAGAGCUUUCCCUGCACAGAACCACAGGUCAGAGUUCAGCCCACUUCUGUAUGCUGUAAGACACACAAUGAUUUCAUGUUUGUAUACCUGUGUGUGUGUGUGUGUGUGUGAGAGACGCACCCUCCGCUCUGACAGUAGCUCCGCCCACCUGACCAGCAGAGGCCGUGAUUGGUGCAGCCUGAGGGUUUGUAUCAGCAUGUUCUGUUGUAUGUGUAUGAGUGUGUGUACUUCUCAGGUCACUGAUCAUUAAUGAUAAACACUGGCACAAUCAUGUCAAAACACUUAUGCUAUGCACUUAAUAAAAACAAUGCUAAUGUACAAAA